This 18-nucleotide transfer RNA is filed under the name Latrodectus katipo (true katipo). Its description in RNAcentral is "partial tRNA-Leu". The record is from RNAcentral. Lineage: Eukaryota; Metazoa; Arthropoda; Arachnida; Araneae; Theridiidae.
AUUACCUAAAUUAUAUCA